UUGUCUCCCCACUGCUUUGUCCCGCCCCCCAGGCCACCCCUGCCCCUCCUGGGGCCUCCAUCUCCUUCUGUCUCCUCCUGUCCCUUCUUCCACCUACAGCUCUAAGAAGCAGUGCCAGCUUCUGGGGAGACACAUGUGAGUCAGGUGGUCUCUGACCUCAACGAGCUCCCAGCCUAGGACCUGGCCCAUCCUGGAAGCUGCCAGCAUCCAGGUGGACUGGACAGAGCAGGGGCUCCUGAGUCCACAGGUGUCUCCCGUGGGCUGGGUGACCUUGGGCACUGCCAUCGCCUGUAUGCACUGCUGCUCCCGCGUCUGUAACGAGGACCCCUUCCUGCCUGCCCCCUGGGGCUCUUCUGAGCUCUUGACGACAUAAUGCACGGAAAGCACACACGCCACGCCAGCGAACAGCAGUGCCACGAUGGAGAGCUCACAGGGAAAUCCUAGUACGCACACUUGGCUUGCCGUGGUUUACCUGGCGCUCUCGGAAGAUCCUGUGUCCCAGCACCACCCCAGUCCUGGGCACACAGUGUCACCCUAUCGAGGAUUGUGGGGCUCUUUGCCCACACCAGUAAGCAGCUCCAACGCCGCUGGAUGUCUUGCAACUCAACUCAAUUCUGACACUAUUGGAGAGAGCACCGGAGCCCACAGCUUAAGGGAUUGGUUCCACAGGACUGUCCCCUGUGAUCCUUCAGAUGCCAAUCACAGGCCCAGGUUGUCCCCUGUGCUUCUGACCCGACUGGCCACGGACUGUAGGUUCUAACAACCCUCUCUUCGGGUUUGAUCAGUUCGCUAGAGCAGCUCACGGCAUUCAGAGAAAUAGUUUGUUUACUACGUUGCUGAUUUAUUAGAAGAGGAGCCGGCCCAGGAACGGCCAGGUGGAAGACAUGCCUAGGGCCCCGAGCUUCCACUCCCUGUCCAGGUGAGUCACUGCCUAGGAACCCCACAUGUUCAUCCACGAGGAAGCUCUCCAAACCUUGCCCUUUCGAAUUUGUCUGGAGGCUUCCUUACAGAGGCAGGAUUGAUGAAAUCACCAGGUCCAUGACUACUGAGUCAACCUCCAGACUCUCUCCCCUCAGGGGGUCCGGGAAUGGGACUGGAAGUUCCAACCCUCUAAUCACAGGAGCGGUUCCCCUGGCAACCAGUCCCCUAUUAGGUGCAUUCCAAAAGCCACCUCAUUAACAUAAUAAGACACAUCCCCAUCGGUUGCUCUCUCUACAGGAAAUUCCAGGGGUUUUAGCUCAGUGCCAGAAAGGGGGGCGGAGAUCAAAUGUACAUUUUGUAUUAGAAGCCAUCAUGUCAGACCCUGCAAUCCAACUGAAACUUUCCAGCGCCCAAUGACAAGUGCACCUUUGUCAUGUAUGUUUCUUCUGAGGAUCCACCUUCUAUUUCUAUCAAAAUAACACACGUGUGGAGUUUUUAAAAGCCGGACGGUGCUACAAGGCUUAAAACAGACAUUAGCCGCCUCCCGCCCGUCUUCCCUGCUAAAAACAAGACAGCAGGUCCAAAUGGAGCCACUGGUGCUAAGCCCCUCGUCACCAAACGGAGACGUAAUCACAGUUUCAGCUCUCCCAGAAGCAGAAUCGUAAACCAGUCCAUUGCCGGAACAGGUCUUGAGAAGCUGGGGUUAGGUAUCCACCUGGCGGACCGAGGCCUCUCCUCAAGGAGCAACCUGGCCGCAACCAAACUGCUUUUUUGCUCUGCAUAACUCCCUUGUUCCCACACCCCCCGCCUGCCAUGUAAGUCUGAUUUUUCUACAGCUCCUCCGAGCUCCCUUCUAUCUGCUGGAUGGGAUGCGGCCCAAUUCGAAUGGACUUUUGCUCAAAUAAACUUGAAAAGUUUCAGUAUA
This is a long non-coding RNA of Canis lupus familiaris (dog), 1846 nucleotides long. RefSeq lists it as uncharacterized. Lineage: Eukaryota; Metazoa; Chordata; Mammalia; Carnivora; Canidae. The record is from RefSeq and is a predicted model, not a curated record. The transcript has 3 exons.